Molecule: ribosomal RNA, 253 nt
Filed under: uncultured bacterium
Lineage: Bacteria
Description: partial 16S ribosomal RNA
Rfam family: Bacterial small subunit ribosomal RNA
Source: RNAcentral
UACGUAGGGGGCAAGCGUUGUCCGGAUUUAUUGGGCGUAAAGAGCGUGUAGGCGGUUAGGUAGGUCCGUUGUGAAAACUCGAGGCUCAACCUCGAGACGCCGAUGGAAACCGUCUGGCUAGAGUCCGGAAGAGGAGAGUGGAAUUCCUGGUGUAGCGGUGAAAUGCGCAGAUAUCAGGAAGAACACCCGUGGCUAAGGCGGCUCUCUAGUACGGUACUGACGCUGAGACGCGAAAGCCAGGGGAGCAAACGGG